This 310-nucleotide long non-coding RNA is filed under the name Pongo abelii (Sumatran orangutan). Its description in RNAcentral is "lincRNA". The record is from RNAcentral. Lineage: Eukaryota; Metazoa; Chordata; Mammalia; Primates; Hominidae.
GCUGACUCUCUUUUCGGAUUCAGCCCAGUUGCACCCAAGUGAAAUAAACAGCCUUGUUGCUCACACAAAGCCUGUUGGUGGACUCUCUUCACACGGGCGCAUGUGACAUUUGGUGCCGAAGACCUGAGACAGGAGGACUCCUUUGGGAGACCGGUCCCCUGUCCUCGCCCUCUCUCCAUGAGAUCCACCCAUGACCUCGGGUCCUCAGCCCAGCCAAAGGAACAUCUCACCAAUUUUAAACCGGCGAAGCGAAACCAACAAGAAUGAAGAAGUGGCCAGGUAUGGUGGUGGCUCAUGCCUGUAAUCUCAG